Molecule: unclassified non-coding RNA, 379 nt
Filed under: uncultured bacterium
Lineage: Bacteria
Description: contains 16S-23S intergenic spacer region
Source: RNAcentral
UCCAGCUUAUCGCUGGCGGUCUCCUGCGAGUGCCGCCUUUCGGCAUGGUAACACAGGACAAGGGUUGCGCUCGUUGCGGGACUUAACCCAACAUCUCACGACACGAGCUGACGACAGCCAUGCAGCACCUGUGUUACGGCUCCCUUUCGGGCACACCCCCAUCUCUGAGGGCUUCCGUACAUGUCAAGGGUAGGUAAGGUUAUUCGCGUUGCAUCGAAUUAAUCCACAUCAUCCACCGCUUGUGCGGGUCCCCGUCAAUUCCUUUGAGUUUUAGCCUUGCGGCCGUACUCCCCAGGCGGGGUGCUUAAUGCGUUAACUGCGGCACGGGAGGAGUCGACACCUCCCACACCUAGCACCCAUCGUUUACGGCGUGGACUAA